This 468-nucleotide ribosomal RNA is filed under the name uncultured bacterium. RNAcentral describes it as "partial 16S ribosomal RNA". It matches the Rfam family "Bacterial small subunit ribosomal RNA", at positions 28 to 507 of the family's 1533-position model. The record is from RNAcentral.
GACGAACGCUGGCGGCGUGCUUAACACAUGCAAGUCGAACGGAAAGGCCCUGCUUUUGUGGGGUGCUCGAGUGGCGAACGGGUGAGUAACACGUGAGUAACCUGCCCUUGACUUUGGGAUAACUUCAGGAAACUGGGGCUAAUACCGGAUAGGAGCUCCUGCUGCAUGGUGGGGGUUGGAAAGUUUCGGCGGUUGGGGAUGGACUCGCGGCUUAUCAGCUUGUUGGUGGGGUAGUGGCUUACCAAGGCUUUGACGGGUAGCCGGCCUGAGAGGGUGACCGGCCACAUUGGGACUGAGAUACGGCCCAGACUCCUACGGGAGGCAGCAGUGGGGAAUAUUGCAGAAUGGGCGGAAGCCUGAUGCAGCAACGCCGCGUGCGGGAUGACGGCCUUCGGGUUGUAAACCGCUUUCGCCGGUGACGAAGCGUGAGUGACGGUAAUGGGUAAAGAAGCACCGGCUAACUACGUG